Long non-coding RNA from Vicia villosa (hairy vetch), 441 nucleotides. RefSeq lists it as uncharacterized. The record is from RefSeq and is a predicted model, not a curated record. The transcript has 2 exons. NCBI's taxonomy places the organism in Eukaryota, Viridiplantae, Streptophyta, Magnoliopsida, Fabales, Fabaceae.
GUGAAGAUUGGCGUGAAGCUUUUUGUGGAUUUUCUAGGGAAAUCGUGAAGAGAAGUGGAUGAAGAUUCAAGGUAAUUGAAUGAAAAUGGAGGUGAUAUGUGAAGUAGAGGAAGAUGAAGGUGGUGAAUGGAAGAUGAAUGAUGAUGAGAGAGAAUGAAGAUGGAUUUCAUGGAGAAUGAAUCCAGAGGCUUUGAAGUGUGAAUGAUGCUGCUAUAUAUCAGGUGCUUAUAAUGCUUUCACAAGGCUGGCUGUAAGUUCAUGGAAGCAAUUCGUGAGCGAUGCUUUGGCAAAGUUCGGAAGAAGAUCGACAUGAAGUUUUAGGAUCAAAGAAGGACAUAGGUUUAGAAAUUUUAGAAUUUAGGAAUUUGAUGUAAUGGGAAUGAUCGAAGUUGUAAUGAACAAAACUUUCCCUCUUUGAGUGAAUUCCCAUACUUUUCUAAA